This 2412-nucleotide long non-coding RNA is filed under the name Schizosaccharomyces pombe (fission yeast). The record is from RNAcentral. Lineage: Eukaryota; Fungi; Ascomycota; Schizosaccharomycetes; Schizosaccharomycetales; Schizosaccharomycetaceae.
UAGUAUCGGUAAUUAUCAAAAACUCGUGGAUCGAAUAAAAAAACCAUCUCAAGAAUAGGAUGGUGUCUAACUGUUAAAAACGGCUUCUUUUAUCUAUUUCAAAAUUAGUAAAGAAUUUUCAAACUUAAGACCAAAAAGUUUUAAGCAAAUGAAGAAUUUCAUCAGUGUAACUAUGACAAAAUGCUUUAUCACUGCAAGAAGGCAACCAAAACGAUUACCCCGUUAUCCUUGCUAUACAAUUUGGGUAUAUAUUUCGCAUCCUCUGAAAUCUCCAUUUGUGAAAUGAUGAAACUUACCUAUUUACUAUUUAGAUGAGCACACUCCAGGUGAAAGAACUAUGCAAAAGCAGAAAGCACAGUGCCCUUUAUAUUCUUCUUAAUGUGACUGUUUUUUUGGGGUUUUCAAGAGAAGAUAUCAUAAAAUAGCAUACAUAGCUGUUAAUCAAGGAUAAGAAGAAGUAAUGUUCAUCGAAAAUAAUUGAUAGAUUAGUUUAUUGAUAUUGUUAAUCAUUUGAGUAAUUUCUGAUGUUUUCGUUAUAAGGAUAUGGUUGCUUCUUUGACUCAGUAGGAUUGUUAUCUGGUUUUUAAAAUCGUUACUUGAGAAAAUCCCCUAAUUUAAGGAAUUUUUAUAUGUUUGUUGGGAUUAUAGCUGUCUUUGGCUACUGUUAACUGUUGUAAUGACAAUAGUUUUGGUUUAUCUUUCUUACUUUAGACCUUGUAGAAGCACCGGUAAAUGUCAAGCAAACUUUUCAAACUGUAAAGUGUAUACAGUCUUUAACGACAUAGAAUUAUAGCAUCCGUCAACAGCUAAAUAAAUUAUUCGUUUGUCUGUAAAAAAUAAAAUUGAUAACGAUUGCUGGAAAUUUAGAAUCAUUGGGAUAUAUUAAGGAUGUACCUUCCCACGAAGAAAACACAUUCAUGAGAUGUUUACUGAGACCUGCAAUGAUUUUUUUCAUUCCAAUACGUAAAUGUUUAUUUUUUUAUGGGCAAAAGUAUGCAUUCGUAGAUACAACUCUUUUUGGCCGUUGUCAAGCUUAACAGAUGAUACAAUGAAAAUAGUAAACAAGGUAUUCCCAAAACAGACGAUAUCUCAUUUUCCAAGAGAAAAGUAUUAACUUAAUAGCUCCAAGUUCAUCAAAUUUUUUUUUGGCGAUUGAAUAGUUGUAUAGUUUAAAGAGUUUACUCAUACUUGGCAAUGGAAAUGCAGCAUACUUGUUAUUUAGAUCUUCCCAGAUCCUCAAUUUCAAAAUCUAAACAGCUAUGGGUAAACAUAUGCCUCCUCUCUGGAUUAAUGAAUUAAAGUUUUAUAUGAAUAUACCCAUGAGAAAUAAGGUGGAUACAGCAGCAACUUUCUGCACACACUGCAUCAAUUGGGUUUUGGAACGAAACCAAGGAAUCAAUAUAUAAGUUUGAAGCACAUGAAGGCAUAAAAAAAAUUUCGUCUUGAGUUCGAUCUUUAGAGGUGAAGUCAAAGUAAAAACUUGCGAACCCAGCAAAUGCCAAAGAUGGAGGGUUUAAACUUCAAUAGGUUCAUCCAUCAGAGAGAUGUUAUGAAUUUCUGAUUUAUUUCGUUCAAUGGCAGCUAAUUCUGCCUUUUUUAUUGUACCAGAUACACGAACCACGCGAAUUAUUACAGGCUUGCCAUAUAAUUCCCUUAUUAAAACUAAUGCGGCCCAUGCCAAACGAAAAUGCUGUCUUGAGACCCGCAGAAUGCCAGUAGAUGUAUUAGGUGAAAAAUAUUUUACAGUUAGACUAGAUGCAACCUUUCCAAUACCAACAUCACCGAAAUUUUCUGCAACCAUGGUUCUAAUUAUUUUAGAAAGACUAGACGUAGUUAUAGAACUAUCAGAAGGGAUAGUAGGAUAGUCAAAAAACUCUUUUGCUUCAGGAUAUAAUACUUCAAAAAGUAAAUAUCGGGAUUUGAAGCGAACCAUAGUUUUACGAUAUAUAUAUUUUUUGUAGUUUAAUCAGCGAUUUUGAUUGAAAUAUGACCUUUGAGACAAAUAAUAAUAAUAAAUUAUCGUUAUGCUAUAACAAGAAUAAAUAAUGCUGGAAAUGGAAUUGCCCAAAAAUGGAUCGUAGUGGGUAUGAACGUUGCUACUUAUUGCACACCGGUUAGAGAAAUGUAACUUGCUCAACGAAUAAAUUUCUCAGAAAACAGUUUAUAGAGACGUCUGUGUUAUAAUUUAUUGCUUUUAAGAUUUAAUGGAAUAGAAAUUUAAAGAAAAAAUCAUAUUAUCUAACAGGUGUUUACAAUGAACGAUUAGAAUUAGUCGUAAAUUUCAAUAUGUUUAAUUGCUUUUGCUACAUUGCCAUAGCGGUAGAUAAUUUGUUUAAGAUUAAGUAAAUGGUAUUUGGUUAUAAUUAGACUAGAAGACAUGCAAAUUCUAAAUGCACGAUAAUCAUGCUUACG